This 101-nucleotide microRNA precursor is filed under the name Microtus ochrogaster (prairie vole). RNAcentral's name for it is "miRNA (ENSMOCG00000006058.1)". The stretch from base 11 to 91 matches the Rfam family "mir-1193 microRNA precursor family". The record is from RNAcentral. Lineage: Eukaryota; Metazoa; Chordata; Mammalia; Rodentia; Cricetidae.
ACUGCUUCCAGGGUGACUGUGAGGAUGGUAGACCGGUGACGUACACUUCAUUUAAGAUGUAGGUCACCUGUUUAGCUAUCCACCAGCACCCAGACCGUCUG